UGGGGAAUAUUGCACAAUGGGCGCAAGCCUGAUGCAGCCAUGCCGCGUGUAUGAAGAAGGCCUUCGGGUUGUAAAGCACUUUCAGCGGGGAGGAAGGCGUUAAGGUUAAUAACCUUGGCGAUUGACGUUACCCGCAGAAGAAGCACCGGCUAACUCCGUGCCAGCAGCCGCGGUAAUACGGAGGGUGCAAGCGUUAAUCGGAAUUACUGGGCGUAAAGCGCACGCAGGCGGUCUGUCAAGUCGGAUGUGAAAUCCCCGGGCUCAACCUGGGAAAUGCAUUCGAAACUGGCAGGCUAGAGUCUUGUAGAGGGGGGUAGAAUUCCAGGUGUAGCGGUGAAAUGCGUAGAGAUCUGGAGGAAUACCGGUGGCGAAGGCGGCCCCCUGGACAAAGGCUGACGCUCAGGUGCGAAAGCGUGGGGAGCAAACAGG
This 429-nucleotide ribosomal RNA is filed under the name Chloroflexota bacterium. Its description in RNAcentral is "Chloroflexi bacterium partial 16S ribosomal RNA". It matches the Rfam family "Bacterial small subunit ribosomal RNA", at positions 355 to 776 of the family's 1533-position model. The record is from RNAcentral. Lineage: Bacteria; Bacillati; Chloroflexota.